UCAAAAGGACUAAUAGCUGAGUGUUAGAUGCUCCGGAAGGCAAAAAUAUGAAGAUGCAGAAGGUCAACACGGGCUCCCGUGUACAUCAACACUGCCCGUGUUGUUUGCCAGGAAGGAGCACUCAAAGAUGGGAGUCAGGGGGUUAACACGGGCACCUGUGUACAUCAACACGACCCGUGUUGAUGCCUCUGUAGCUUGCUUUAAAAAACACAACUUUUGAAGAGCAACACGGGCACCCGUGUGAAUCCACACGGCCCGUGUUGAUGGGCGCGACUGAGAAAUUUUACUUUAUGUUGUAUGGAUCUGCCCUGUUCAUUAAGGGUAUUUUGGACUUCUUGCUGGGAGAGAAAACCAUCUGAGGCUAUUAGAAGAUUUUGGAGAGAAAGAGAAGGGGACUUUUUUACAUACGAGAGAAAAACAUUGCACUGGAGAAUAUAGCUACUACGGAGGAUUUGAAGACGACGAGAUUCAAGGGUAUCAACCAUUGAAGAUUAAAAUCUCCUAAUUCUUUGUAAUGUUUAAAUAUCCACACUAUGAUUUCUUUGAAUACUAUGAGAGGCUAAACCCCCCAAUGCUAGGGGGUGGUCCUGAUUUGAUCUUAUGUUAUGAAUUCGAACCAUGGAUUUUCUUAUUACUAUGUUACAUAUUUCAAUUUAAUUGU
RNAcentral lists this long non-coding RNA (661 nucleotides) under Lathyrus oleraceus (garden pea). Its description in RNAcentral is "Pisum sativum (pea) long non-coding RNA (PSAT_LNC039378)". The record is from RNAcentral. Lineage: Eukaryota; Viridiplantae; Streptophyta; Magnoliopsida; Fabales; Fabaceae.